CAUUAUUUGAUAUCAGAUACAAAAAUGAAGACAUUAUGGCGUCUAUGAUCUCACUGAGAGAGCGGCGGCAUGUCCACAAUUGAAAUAACAAUUCAAUUAGUUGUUUUUAUAGAAACAGAAAAAAAAAACAAUAAAACAUUUCAAAAUAAUGCAAAAAAAAUAGUUCUACAUUUGAAUGCUUAGAUUGUUUUUUAUUACAAACAUGUUUUUUUGUUUCUGCUUUUGAAUGGGAAAAAAUAAUCUGCGCAAAUGCACCAAUACACCAACACAACGGAUGAAGAGAGAAAAGUCAGCAGAGAAAGAGAAGUGAAACUGCUUAACUCUUUCUCUACGGCGAUCAUUCUCGAGCCAAGAAACAACAUCAAUGGAUGCACUUCAAAAUCAUUUAAGGCGGUGAACCUUAAUUGGAUUACGUGUUUUUUGCAUACGCAUCCAAAUCGACAUAGCCUCAGAGUAGUUUUCGUUUCUCCAGUGAGUCAAUGUGUUGGAAUAACAAGAAGUAAGCAGAUUUCAUAUGACGUUUGCAAAAAAAAAAAAAAACAGAAAAUUUGUUUUAAUUAUUUAAAAGGAAGGCUUCUUGCAAUUUCUGGGAAAUAUUCAACAAAUGUUUUGCACAAUUAAAUUUAAUACUACCGUUACUCAUCAUCAGCAUCAUCA
Musca domestica (house fly) is the source of this 657-nucleotide long non-coding RNA. RefSeq lists it as uncharacterized. The record is from RefSeq and is a predicted model, not a curated record. Lineage: Eukaryota; Metazoa; Arthropoda; Insecta; Diptera; Muscidae. The transcript has 3 exons.